UACGUAGGUGGCAAGCGUUGUCCGGAUUUACUGGGCGUAAAGAGCGCGCAGGCGGUCGUUCAAGUCGCGUGUGAAAGCCCCCGGCUCAACUGGGGAGGGUCACGCGAUACUGAUCGACUCGAAGGCAGGAGAGGGUAGUGGAAUUCCCGGUGUAGUGGUGAAAUUCGUAGAUAUUCGGAAGAACACCAGUGGCGAAGGCGGCUCACUGGACCGGCAUUGACGCUGAGGUGCGAAAGCGUGGGGAGCAAACAGG
RNAcentral lists this ribosomal RNA (253 nucleotides) under uncultured bacterium. RNAcentral describes it as "partial 16S ribosomal RNA". It matches the Rfam family "Bacterial small subunit ribosomal RNA", at positions 524 to 776 of the family's 1533-position model. The record is from RNAcentral.